GCAGCAGCCACGGUAAUACGUAGGGUGCGAGCGUUAAUCGGAUUUACUGGGCGUAAAGCGUGCGCAGGCGGCCCGUUAAGGCAGGUGUGAAAUCCCUGGGCUCAACCUAGGAAUUGCGCUUGUGACUGGCGGGCUCGAGUACGGUAGAGGGGGGUGGAAUUCCUGGUGUAGCAGUGAAAUGCGUAGAGAUCAGGAGGAACACCGAUGGCGAAGGCAGCCCCCUGGGCCUGUACUGACGCUCAUGCACGAAAGCGUGGGGAGCAAACAGGAUUAGAUACCCGGGUAGUCCCUGUCUCUUAUAC
This 302-nucleotide ribosomal RNA is filed under the name uncultured bacterium. RNAcentral describes it as "partial 16S ribosomal RNA". It matches the Rfam family "Bacterial small subunit ribosomal RNA", at positions 508 to 807 of the family's 1533-position model. The record is from RNAcentral.